AAAAAAAAUAGAAAAACUGGAACGAAGGGAAACAGAGGCGGCGAUCACAAUUGGAGAAGAAAAGUUGGGGAGGAAAUUAGAAUCAGGACCUGAGACAAGUACUAGUGGUGGACCUAUCGUCUUACACCCACGUUAUCCAGGGGCAUAGUAGUGAGUUGUCUUUCUGAGUCGCUCUGCAGCUACUAGUAUCUCUCCUUGUAUUUUUAUUCUGUCUAUUUUUAUUUCAGGCAGUAUUUGAGACUUUGUAUAAUCUAGUAGAUGCUCAUACACUUGUGACAUCAGGACUUGGCACACAUAUUGGUAAAAUUUGGUAUAUUA
Molecule: non-coding RNA, 318 nt
Organism: Nicotiana tabacum (common tobacco)
Lineage: Eukaryota; Viridiplantae; Streptophyta; Magnoliopsida; Solanales; Solanaceae
Source: RefSeq, a predicted model, not a curated record